GACAGAGGCCUCAAGCGUUAGGCGGAAUCACUGGGCUUAAAGCGUGUGUAGGCGGAUCGUUAAGUGUCUUGUGAAAUCCCACGGCUCACCCGUGGAACUGCUGGGCAUACUGGCGAUCUUGGGCCAACUAGGGGCAACUGGAACAAGCGGUGGAGCGGUGAAAUGCGUAGAUAUCAUUUGGAACGCCAAUGGUGAAAACAGCUCGCUGGGGGUUUGCUGACGCUGAGACACGAAAGCCAGGGGAGCAAACGGG
RNAcentral lists this ribosomal RNA (253 nucleotides) under uncultured bacterium. RNAcentral describes it as "partial 16S ribosomal RNA". It matches the Rfam family "Bacterial small subunit ribosomal RNA", at positions 524 to 776 of the family's 1533-position model. The record is from RNAcentral.